Molecule: long non-coding RNA, 3513 nt
Organism: Salvelinus sp. IW2-2015
Lineage: Eukaryota; Metazoa; Chordata; Actinopteri; Salmoniformes; Salmonidae
Source: RefSeq, a predicted model, not a curated record
CGAACCAGGGACUGUAGUGACACCUCUUGCAUUGAGAUGCAGUGCCUUAGACCGCUGCGCCACUCGGGAGCACUCAUGACAUAGUGUGCUCUGCUGUAUGUCUUUGCUAUGCGUUGUUUGCAUAGCUAAAAUGUCACCAUGCUUAGUUUUCCCAGAAAUACUGUAGGCACGAUCUUUAUAGCUGGAACCUUUGCUUUACCCUUCGUUAGUGUUUCACUUUGGCCUAGCUGAUGUGAACAACCAUAUAGCAGUUAACUUCAAGGGCAAUUGUCCUCAUUUAACAAAUUCACAGGUCUCCCUGUUCCAACAUUAGCCUACACUCUCAUGUUAGGACAUCUUCUUUGCUGACCUUUCAAAAACUGUAUGUUGUUGAACAUUUACAUUGAAAACAAACUAACCCAGUUGUUUUCUUCUCUGUUUUCCAGCACAGGUGUUUUUAUUUGCACCAGCCCUAUAAAACAUUAUAUACACUGCCCUGAUGAGAAGCGUGCCUGGAUAGAGAAACACCUGAGCUAUGACUUCUUGGAGCAGAUCAUCCUGACCUGAGACAAGACCAUGGUGACUGGGGACAUCCUCAUAGAUGACACGCCGGACAUCCUAGGUGUAGAGCCCAACCUGGGAGCACAUCCUGUUCACUGCCUGCCACAACAAAAACGUAACCCCCAGCUCCAGCCAGCGCCUGCUCUCCUGGGCCGAUGACUGGAGGGCCAUCCUGGAGAGCAAGAGGCACUGAACCCUUAAGCACACACCAACCUCCCCUUCUCCACCCUGAUGACCUACACUACAUUGGGGUUCAACUGCUAGAGUGAAUACCUCCACUAACUUGUCCAACUUGAAGUUAAGUGAGUAUUAAUCUGUUUGACCACUAGGGGGCACACAUAGACUGAAGCAUGAGGUAGACAUUUGUGGUGUGCCGAUCUCAUCCUACUCGUAUUCGUAAUUGUAUACAUUUUAUCACACAUCARACUCGUAAUCGGAUUUACUCGUGAUCGGAAAACCCAGAAGUGCGCUUUAAAUGCUGGUAAAGRCUAUACCUUCAGGGCGCAUUACUGCGCUAUCACUCAAAUGUGCAUCGUUAUGCCCCUUCACUCAUUCAUGCACACAUUGUUAAAUGACCCAGACAGAUGAAAAUGCACAUGAUUUACUUACCUAGUCCUAUUCAAUUAUCAAUGAAACAGGCUAAUAAAUAGCCUAAUGCAUGACUGGCUACUAUUGCCUGCAUUUAUUCCAGACACAGGUUUAGAUGAAGGUAACGCUAGGCUAAUUCGCUUGCCCCAUAUAUUGUUUAACUUUCGAGAGGAGCAAAACUUUUCCCUCCCGACACUUAUGCCACAACAUUUGUGCAAUCAAAAUAAACAAUCUACAUUUGUCAUUUUAUUUUCGACUGAUCUGUUGCUCGGUAAACUUGUCUGGGCUAGAGUAAAUAAUAAUAGCAAGCGUGGGUUUGGAUCACGAUUUAAUGACAGACGUCGUCAGCGAUGGAAUAUAUGGACAGACAAAGUAGGCCUACUAAACAACCYUAUGGCCUCAGKAAAGUCGACAGGACAUAARUAGCUAUGGAUUCUGAUUCAUACGCAAUGUUUGGAGGAGGGGAGUUUUCGAUCACAAAUAAUUACAAAAAAUACUUAUUUUUUUCAUAAUCGAAUUUGGAAAAUGUAUCUCUAUUACGGUACUCGUUUUGUCCGAGUACUCGGCACAUCACUAGUAAAAAAUAAUGAAAAUGAUUUUACUGUUUUMACUGUUUUCAGAGUUUACUGUUUUUACACACUCGUUAUAGUUGUUUGGGUAUCUAUUAUCAGUUGUCUGUAUGGUUUUGGAAAGUUUUUCAGCCUGUGUUUUGACAAUUUGGGAGAAUAGAGUAUAAUUUCAAAGGGAUAAAAUUAUCCAUUUUAAAAGUGGUUUAGUGUGGUGUGCACUUUAACCAUCGAUUAAGCACCAUUCCUUAUCAACUGACAGAGAGACUUACUAUCACUCCACCCAAAGGCACACAUCAUUGCAACAUGUUUAAAUAGUCACCACUGUCAAUCACCUGGAAUAUAAACCACACGCAUAAACAUUUUGUAUGUUGACAAGGACAUUGGCCCGAGGACCAUAGGGCUCUGUUUUAAAUGUACUGUAUGGGAAUGACUCCAUAUUGUAAAUGUUGUUUUCCACCAUUGUGCCAACAUACUGUAGAUCAAAUGGUAGCAUAUAUAUAUUUUUUCAACCUAGUUUAGGUCGAUUWUAUAGAGGGUUACAUAAAUUAAUAUGUUUUCAAGCUGCACCCARAGCUUAUGUAAUUAUAUGCGUCCUUACCAAUCCACAUGCAGGUAUAAGGAAUGACAGAUAUAACUAGGUGGCAUGAUUUAAAAUGCAUGURAAAUAUAUAACAAUUAUUAAAGUUCAAGAAAGUGAAUAUACCACAUUUUUUUGAAUACACAUUAUACAUCACAAAUGUUUUAUUUCUACAUUGUCAUUCAUCUGAGCGUAACUUAGUUGCAUUAGUCUUUAACAUGUCUUAUUGUUAGUGAGACCAAAAAAAACUUWACCUCAAAAUAUCCUAUACCCUCUGCUGUGAACAAGUAUGGUCAAGCUCUUCCAURAAAAAGCAUGUAUAUCUCUWUGCAGGCCUUGCAGUAUAUUCACAAAGUGGUCUAGUGAAGAACCUAUGAUCAAGUUGCCUAUAUUAACAAAGAWCAACACUGAUUGCGAGGCAACAACUAAACGGGUAACCAUUUUGCGCUAUUUGUUGCAAUGMUGUCAGCUGCUUCCUAAAAUGUGGUCGCUGGCAGCAUUGUCAAUGGCCUAUCAAGCUUCUUAAAUGUUUCAUCCAUCACUCAUACUGAGAGGAUUUACUGUACAGUACUUACACCUAGCUGAAUGUCUCUAYCUUCUAAUUCAGUUUUACAAAAUCAUUUGAAAUUGGUGCUAAAAWGUUGUUCAUUGCUAGUUCACCUAUUGUGAGUGUCCUUUCCCCCAGUGAUUCACAGAGCGGGCAUAGCAAGCUCUGGCCUGACCUCUAUACGGCUCUGGUUCUAACUGUUUUCAGUCUAACCGUAUCAGCAUGAUGUUGUAGCUAACUCAUUUGAAUCUUGUUUCACACAAUGCCUUUGUACCAAUGCCCCCUCCUUUCCUCUCCUCCUAUCUCUGAUGUUAAUCAGAUUGUAAAAGCACUGGUAGGCUUUUCUUGUAUUGAUUUUUAACCUUCCAAGUGUCUUUACAGUUGUCAUGAAGGGAAGGAGAUUAGGAAAAUAAUGUUGUCAAGACUGUUGGACAACAAGUGUUGUUGUUCACACAUGAUUGCCCUGAUGAUGACUGUCUAUGGGGCGAGUUAGGGUUAAGCGAUGUGUGUGUCCACUGUCCAGUCAACCCCUGCAUCUCACAAAGCCUCUUCAUGUCACUGCAUCUUGUCAAUGAUUGUCUCGUGUCUUUGGUGUUGAAUAAUAUGCCAAUGUGUUUUUUUGGAGAACAGAAAAUKUACCAAAUGUUGCCAUUAACAACAGAUUGAAUAAAGAAUGCAACAUGUUGAAAAUA